GUCCCUUUGUGUAUAUAUAGGGUCUGACCUGCCCACUGAAAUUUUAAAUGGCCGCAGUAAUUUGACUGUGCAAAGGUAGCAUAAUCAUUAGUUUUUUAAUUAAAAGCUUGUAUGAAAGGUUGGACAAAAUAAAUUCUGUCUCUAUUUAAAUUAAUUUAGAAUUUAACUUUUAAGUCAAAAGGCUUAAAUAAAAUUAAAAGACGAGAAGACCCUAUAGAUCUUUAUAAUUUUUUUUAUAAUUUUAAUUAAGAAUAUUUUAUUUUUUAUAAAAAAAAUUAUUUUAUUGGGGUAAUAGAAAGAUUAAACAAAUUCUUUUUUAAUAUAGACAUUUAUUUAUGAUUUAAUGAUCCAAUUUUAUUGAUUAUAAGAUUAAGUUACCUUAGGGAUAACAGCGUAAUUUUUUUAGAGAGUUCAUAUCGAUAAAAAAGUUUGCGACCUCGAUGUUGGAUUAAAAAUUAUAUUAGGCGUAGAAGUUUAAUAUUUUGGUCUGUUCGACCAUUAAAUUUUU
This 508-nucleotide ribosomal RNA is filed under the name Amphizoa lecontei. Its description in RNAcentral is "partial 16S ribosomal RNA". It matches the Rfam family "Bacterial large subunit ribosomal RNA", at positions 1829 to 2597 of the family's 2925-position model. The record is from RNAcentral. Lineage: Eukaryota; Metazoa; Arthropoda; Insecta; Coleoptera; Amphizoidae.